Molecule: ribosomal RNA, 253 nt
Filed under: uncultured bacterium
Lineage: Bacteria
Description: partial 16S ribosomal RNA
Rfam family: Bacterial small subunit ribosomal RNA
Source: RNAcentral
UACAGAGGGUGCAAGCGUUGUUCGGAAUUACUGGGCGUAAAGGGCUCGUAGGCGGCCAACUAAGUCAGACGUGAAAUCCCUCGGCUUAACCGGGGAACUGCAUCUGAUACUGGAUGGCUUGAGUUCGGGAGAGGGAUGCGGAAUUCCAGGUGUAGCGGUGAAAUGCGUAGAUAUCGGGAGGAACACCUGUGGCGAAAGCGGCUCACUGGACCACAACUGACGCUGAGGCGCGAAAGCUAGGGGAGCAAACAGG